CCUACGGGUGGCAGCAGUGGGGAAUAUUGGACAAUGGGGGGAACCCUGAUCCAGCGAUGCCGCGUGAGUGACGAAGUAUUUCGGUAUGUAAAGCUCUAUCAGCAGGGAAGAAAAUGACGGUCCUUGACUAAGACGCCCCGGCUAACUAGGUGCCAGCGGCCGAGGUACUACGUAGGGGGCACGCGUUUUCCGGAUUUACUGGGUGUAAAGGGAGCGUAGACGGUGCAGCAAGUCUGAUGUGAAAGGUCGGGACCCAACGCCGGGACUGCAUUGGAAACUGUUGAACUGGAGUACAGGGGAGGUGAGCGGAAUGCCUAGUGUAGCGGUGAAAUGCGUAGAUAUUAGAAAGAACACCAGUGGCGAAGGCGGCUUACUGGACUGUAACUGACGUUGAGGCUCGAAAGCGUGGGGAGCAAACAGGAUUAGAUACCCGUGUAGUC
Molecule: ribosomal RNA, 440 nt
Filed under: uncultured bacterium
Lineage: Bacteria
Description: partial 16S ribosomal RNA
Rfam family: Bacterial small subunit ribosomal RNA
Source: RNAcentral